GAUGAACGCUGGCGGCGUGCCUAAUACAUGCAAGUCGAGCGAACAGACGAGGAGCUUGCUCCUCUGACGUUAGCGGCGGACGUGUGAGUAACACGUGGAUACCCUACCUAUAAGACUGGGAUAACUUCGGGACACCGGAGCUAAUACCGGAUAAUAUAUUGAACCGCAUGGUUCAAUAGUGAAAGACGGUUUUGCUGUCACUUAUAGAUGGAUCCGCGCCGCAUUAGCUAGUUGGUAAGGUAACGGCUUACCAAGGCAACGAUGCGUAGCCGACCUGAGGGGGUGAUCGGCCACACGGGAACUGAGACACGGUCCAGACUCCUAAGGGAGGCAGCAGUAGGGAAUCUGCCGCAAUGGGCGAAAGCCUGACGGAGCAACGCCGCGUGAGUGAUGAAGGUCUUCGGAUCGUAAAACUCUGUUAUUAGGGAAGAACAAAUGUGUAAGUAACUAUGCACGUAUUGACGGUACCCAAUCAGAAAGCCACGGCUAACUACGUG
Molecule: ribosomal RNA, 497 nt
Filed under: uncultured bacterium
Lineage: Bacteria
Description: partial 16S ribosomal RNA
Rfam family: Bacterial small subunit ribosomal RNA
Source: RNAcentral